GACGAACGCUGGCGGCGUGCUUAACACAUGCAAGUCGAACGGAAAGGCCCUGCUUUUGUGGGGUGCUCGAGUGGCGAACGGGUGAGUAACACUUGAGUAACCUGCCCUUGACUUUGGGAUAACUUCAGGAAACUGGGGCUAAUACCGGAUAGGAGCUCCUGCUGCAUGGUGGGGGUUGGAAAGUUUCGGCGGUUGGGGAUGGACUCGCGGCUUAUCAGCUUGUUGGUGGGGUAGUGGCUUACCAAGGCUUUGACGGGUAGCCGGCCUGAGAGGGUGACCGGCCACAUUGGGACUGAGCUACGGCCCAGACUCCUACGGGAGGCAGCAGUGGGGAAUAUUGCACAAUGGGCGGAAGCCUGAUGCAGCAACGCCGCGUGCGGGAUGACGGCCUUCGGGUUGUAAACCGCUUUCGCCUGUGACGAAGCGUGAGUGACGGUAAUGGGUAAAGAAGCACCGGCUAACUACGUG
This 468-nucleotide ribosomal RNA is filed under the name uncultured bacterium. RNAcentral's name for it is "partial 16S ribosomal RNA". It matches the Rfam family "Bacterial small subunit ribosomal RNA", at positions 28 to 507 of the family's 1533-position model. The record is from RNAcentral.